Molecule: ribosomal RNA, 253 nt
Filed under: uncultured bacterium
Lineage: Bacteria
Description: partial 16S ribosomal RNA
Rfam family: Bacterial small subunit ribosomal RNA
Source: RNAcentral
UACGGGGGGGGCAAGCGUUGUUCGGAAUUACUGGGCGUAAAGGGCUCGUAGGUGGCCAACUAAGUCAGACGUGAAAUCCCUCGGCUUAACCGGGGAACUGCGUCUGAUACUGGAUGGCUAGAGUUUGGGAGAGGGAUGCGGAAUUCCAGGUGUAGCGGUGAAAUGCGUAGAUAUCUGGUGGAACACCGGUGGCGAAGGCGGCUUGCUGGUCCGGUACUGACGCUGAGGUGCGAAAGCGUGGGGAGCAAACAGG